Molecule: ribosomal RNA, 520 nt
Filed under: uncultured Glomus
Lineage: Eukaryota; Fungi; Glomeromycota; Glomeromycetes; Glomerales; Glomeraceae
Description: SSU rRNA
Rfam family: Eukaryotic small subunit ribosomal RNA
Source: RNAcentral
AGCAGCCGCGGUAAUUCCAGCUCCAAUAGCGUAUAUUAAAGUUGUUGCAGUUAAAAAGCUCGUAGUUGAAUUUCGGGGUCAGUAGGUUGGUCGUGCCACUGGUAUGUACUGGUCUCACUGAUUCCUCCUUCCUGAUGAACCGUAAUGCCAUUAAUUUGGUGUUGCAGGGAAUCUGGACUGUUACUUUGAAAAAAUUAGAGUGUUUAAAGCAGGCUAACGCUUGAAUACAUUAGCAUGGAAUAAUGAAAUAGGACGAUCGAUCCUAUUUUGUUGGUUUCUAGGAUUGACGUAAUGAUUAAUAGGGAUAGUUGGGGGCAUUAGUAUUCAAUUGUCAGAGGUGAAAUUCUUGGAUUUUAUUGAAGACUAACUACUGCGAAAGCAUUUGCCAAGGAUGUUUUCAUUAAUCAAGAACGAAAGUUAGGGGAUCGAAGACGAUCAGAUACCGUCGUAGUCUUAACCAUAAACUAUGCCGACUAGGGAUCGGAUGAUGUUAAUUUUUUAAUGACUCAUUCGGCGUACC